RNAcentral lists this transfer RNA (69 nucleotides) under Trachypenaeus curvirostris. RNAcentral's name for it is "tRNA-Trp". Lineage: Eukaryota; Metazoa; Arthropoda; Malacostraca; Decapoda; Penaeidae. The record is from RNAcentral.
AAGACUUUAAGUUAUUUAAACUUGUAGCCUUCAAAGUUACCAAAAGAAGUAAAACUCUUCUAAGUCUUA